Pan troglodytes (chimpanzee) is the source of this 234-nucleotide long non-coding RNA. RefSeq lists it as uncharacterized. Lineage: Eukaryota; Metazoa; Chordata; Mammalia; Primates; Hominidae. The transcript has 2 exons. The record is from RefSeq and is a predicted model, not a curated record.
CUUAAAUCCUCAAAGGCCCAGGAAGGAGGUGGGCGGGCCAGGCCUCGGCGGAACUGACCUCGAGGGACCUGUCGGGAGUCUCCGGGUGAUCUCUGCACAUGAGGCUUCCCUGUGCCUUCUGCCAUGAAUGGAAGCAGCCGAAGGCCACACCAGAAGCCGAGGAGCAGAUGUCAGCACCACUCUUCUUGUACAGCCUGCAGAACAGCAAGCCAAAUAAACGUAUUUUCUUAUAAA